This 407-nucleotide ribosomal RNA is filed under the name uncultured bacterium. RNAcentral describes it as "partial 16S ribosomal RNA". It matches the Rfam family "Bacterial small subunit ribosomal RNA", at positions 30 to 526 of the family's 1533-position model. The record is from RNAcentral.
AUUGAACGCUAGCGGGAUGCCUUACACAUGCAAGUCGAACGGAGUGGCGAACGGGUGCGUAAUGUAUCGGAACGUGCCCAGUAGCGGGGGAUAACUACGCGAAAGCGUAGCUAAUACCGAAUACUAUGGGAGCGGACGAUAUCGGAUGAGCUAGUUGGUGGGGUAACGGCUAACCAAGGCGACGAUCCGUAGCUGGUUUGAGAGGACGAACAGCCACACUGGGACUGAGACCCGGCCCAGACUCCUACGGGAGGCAGCAGUUGGGAAUUUUGGACAAUGGGGGCAACCCUGAUCCAGCCAUCCCGCUUGUGCGAUGAAGGCCUUCGGUUUGUAAAGCACUUUUGGCAGGGAAGCGGUACCUGCAGAAUAAGCACCGGCUAACUCCGUGCCAGCAGCCGCGGUAAUUC